UAGGGAAUCUUCCGCAAUGGGCGAAAGCCUGACGGAGCAACGCCGCGUGAGUGAUGAAGGUCUUCGGAUCGUAAAACUCUGUUAUUAGGGAAGAACAAAUGUGUAAGUAACUAUGCACGUCUUGACGGUACCUAAUCAGAAAGCCACGGCUAACUACGUGCCAGCAGCCGCGGUAAUACGUAGGUGGGAAGCGUUAUCCGGAAUUAUUGGGCGUAAAGCGCGCGUAGGCGGUUUUUUAAGUCUGAUGUGAAAGCCCACGGCUCAACCGUGGAGGGUCAUUGGAAACUGGAAAACUUGAGUGCAGAAGAGGAAAGUGGAAUUCCAUGUGUAGCGGUGAAAUGCGCAGAGAUAUGGAGGAACACCAGUGGCGAAGGCGACUUUCUGGUCUGUAACUGACGCUGAUGUGCGAAAGCGUGGGGAUCAAACAGG
This 429-nucleotide ribosomal RNA is filed under the name Actinomycetes bacterium. RNAcentral describes it as "Actinobacteria bacterium partial 16S ribosomal RNA". It matches the Rfam family "Bacterial small subunit ribosomal RNA", at positions 355 to 776 of the family's 1533-position model. Lineage: Bacteria; Bacillati; Actinomycetota; Actinomycetes. The record is from RNAcentral.